This 17-nucleotide small RNA is filed under the name Arabidopsis thaliana (thale cress). RNAcentral's name for it is "ATSL226050". The record is from RNAcentral. Lineage: Eukaryota; Viridiplantae; Streptophyta; Magnoliopsida; Brassicales; Brassicaceae.
CCAAAACCAAAAAAAAA